Molecule: ribosomal RNA, 415 nt
Filed under: Listeria monocytogenes
Lineage: Bacteria; Bacillati; Bacillota; Bacilli; Caryophanales; Listeriaceae
Also listed under: 1 other name
Description: bacterial SSU rRNA
Rfam family: Bacterial small subunit ribosomal RNA
Source: RNAcentral
UUAUGAGAGUUUGAUCCUGGCUCAGGACGAACGCUGGCGGCGUGCCUAAUACAUGCAAGUCGAACGCUUUUUCUUUCACCGGAGCUUGCUCCACCGAAAGAAAAAGAGUGGCGAACGGGUGAGUAACACGUGGGUAACCUGCCCAUCAGAAGGGGAUAACACUUGGAAACAGGUGCUAAUACCGUAUAACACUAUUUUCCGCAUGGAAGAAAGUUGAAAGGCGCUUUUGCGUCACUGAUGGAUGGACCCGCGGUGCAUUAGCUAGUUGGUGAGGUAACGGCUCACCAAGGCAACGAUGCAUAGCCGACCUGAGAGGGUGAUCGGCCACACUGGGACUGAGACACGGCCCAGACUCCUACGGGAGGCAGCAGUAGGGAAUCUUCGGCAAUGGACGAAAGUCUGACCGAGCAACGCC